GAUAAUACCUUACUACUUGGAUAACCGUGGUAAUUCUAGAGCUAAUACAUGCUAAAAAUCCCGACUUCGGAAGGGUUGUAUUUAUUAGAUUAAAAACCAAUGCCCCUCGGGGCUCUCUGGUGAAUCAUGAUAACUAGUCGAAUCGACAGGCCUUGUGCCGGCGAUGGCUCAUUCAAAUUUCUUCCCUAUCAACUUUCGAUGUUUGGGUAUUGGCCAAACAUGGUGGCAACGGGUAACGGAGGGUUAGGGCUCGACCCCGGAGAAGGAGCCUGAGAAACGGCUACUACAUCCAAGGAAGGCAGCAGGCGCGCAAAUUACCCAAUCCCGACACGGGGAGGUAGUGACAAUAAAUACUGAUACAGGGCUCUUUUGGGUCUUGUAAUCGGAAUGAGUACAAUUUAAAUCCCUUAACGAGGAACAAUUGGAGGGCAAGUCUGGUGCCAGCAGCCGCGGUAAUUCCAGCUCCAAUAGCGUAUAUUAAAGUUGUUGUGGUUAAAAAGCUCGUAGUUGAACCUUGGGCCUGGCUGGCCGGUCCGCCUCACCGCGUGCACUGGUCCGGCCGGGCCUUUCCCUCUGCGGAACCCCAUGCCCUUCACUGGGCGUGGCGGGGAAACAGGACUUUUACUUUGAAAAAAUUAGAGUGCUCAAGGCAGGCCUAUGCUCGAAUACAUUAGCAUGGAAUAAUGAAAUAGGACGUUGCGGUUCUAUUUUGUUGGUUUCUAGGACCGCCGUAAUGAUUAAUAGGGACAGUCGGGGGCAUCAGUAUUCAAUUGUCAGAGGUGAAAUUCUUGGAUUUAUUGAAGACUAACUACUGCGAAAGCAUUUGCCAAGGAUGUUUUCAUUAAUCAGGAACGAAAGUUAGGGGAUCGAAGACGAUCAGAUACCGUCGUAGUCUUAACCAUAAACUAUGCCGACUAGGGAUCGGACGAUGUUAUAUUUUUUGACGCGUUCGGCACCUUACGAGAAAUCAAAGUGC
This 976-nucleotide ribosomal RNA is filed under the name Escovopsis cf. weberi CC011010-4. Its description in RNAcentral is "SSU rRNA". It matches the Rfam family "Eukaryotic small subunit ribosomal RNA", at positions 123 to 1106 of the family's 1831-position model. Lineage: Eukaryota; Fungi; Ascomycota; Sordariomycetes; Hypocreales; Hypocreaceae. RNAcentral also lists the same sequence under 1 other name. The record is from RNAcentral.